This 176-nucleotide small RNA is filed under the name Canis lupus dingo (dingo). RNAcentral's name for it is "Pvt1 onco conserved region 1 (ENSCAFG00020006614.1)". The record is from RNAcentral. Lineage: Eukaryota; Metazoa; Chordata; Mammalia; Carnivora; Canidae.
AGAGCGCGUGCGGCCGCCGAGCACAUGGGCCCGCGGGCCGGGCGCGCUCGGGGCGGGCGGGGGGCCGCGCGCAGCCUCGGGCCCCCGCGCCCCCCGCGCCCCCGGGCGCAUUUCCACGCCGAGAGCGCGUCGGCAGCCCCGGCGACCUGCACACGCACGGCGGGACCCACCUUCCA